RNAcentral lists this ribosomal RNA (465 nucleotides) under uncultured bacterium. RNAcentral's name for it is "bacterial SSU rRNA". It matches the Rfam family "Bacterial small subunit ribosomal RNA", at positions 33 to 507 of the family's 1533-position model. The record is from RNAcentral.
ACGCUGGCGGCGUGCCUAACACAUGCAAGUCGAACGGAGUUAUCUGGAUCAAGACUUCGGUUUUACUUAGUGGCGAACGGGUGAGUAACGCGUGAGGAACCUGCCUUUCAGUGGGGGACAACAGUUGGAAACGACUGCUAAUACCGCAUAAUGUCAUUUAGGGACAUCCCUUUAUGACCAAAGAUUUAUCGCUGAAAGAUGGCCUCGCGUCUGAUUAGAUAGUUGGUAGGGUAACGGCCUACCAAGUCGACGAUCAGUAGCCGGACUGAGAGGUUGACCGGCCACAUUGGGACUGAGAUACGGCCCAGACUCCUACGGGAGGCAGCAGUGGGGAAUAUUGGGCAAUGGACGCAAGUCUGACCCAGCAACGCCGCGUGAAGGAAGAAGGCUUUCGGGUCGUAAACUUCUUUUAAGUGGGAAGAGCAGAAGACGGUACCACUUGAAUAAGCCACGGCUAACUACGUG